This 468-nucleotide ribosomal RNA is filed under the name uncultured bacterium. RNAcentral describes it as "partial 16S ribosomal RNA". It matches the Rfam family "Bacterial small subunit ribosomal RNA", at positions 28 to 507 of the family's 1533-position model. The record is from RNAcentral.
GACGAACGCUGGCGGCGUGCUUAACACAUGCAAGUCGAACGGAAAGGCCCUGCUUUUGUGGGGUGCUCGAGUGGCGAACGGGUGAGUAACACGUGAGUAACCUGCCCUUGACUUUGGGAUAACUUCAGGAAACUGGGGCUAAUACCGGAUAGGAGCUCCUGCUGCAUGGUGGGGGUUGGAAAGUUUCGGCGGUUGGGGAUGGACUCGCGGCUUAUCAGCUUGUUGGUGGGGUAGUGGCUUACCAAGGCUUUGACGGGUAGCCGGCCUGGGAGGGUGACCGGCCACAUGGGGACUGAGGUACGGCCCAGACUCCUACGGGAGGCAGCAGUGGGGAAUAUUGCACAAUGGGCGGAAGCCUGAUGCAGCAACGCCGCGUGCGGGAUGCCGGCCUUCUGGUUGUAAACCGCUUUCGCCUGUGCCGAAGCGUGAGUGACGGUAAUGGGUAAAGAAGCACCGGCUAACUACGUG